RNAcentral lists this long non-coding RNA (2593 nucleotides) under Sus scrofa (pig). Its description in RNAcentral is "lncRNA (ENSSSCG00030005195.1)". Lineage: Eukaryota; Metazoa; Chordata; Mammalia; Artiodactyla; Suidae. The record is from RNAcentral.
UGCCUUUCAGUCUCAGGAUUCCGAGUGCAGCUCUGUCAGACGUGGACUUUCUUCUUUUUUCCCACAGAAGUGGAUGUCUUCAAGCUCUUCUCACCUAGUCAUAUACUGAGAAGGACCAUAGGAAAGAGCUUACACUCAAAUAGACUGUUAUUAUUUGUUCAUGCCAUUUAUUUAUUUAUUUAUUUAUUUAUUUAUUUUGCUUUUUAGGGCACUCAGGGCAUAUGGAGGUCAAAUCGGAGCUACAGCUGCUGGCCUGUACCACAGUUGUAGCAAUUCCAGAUCCAAGUGGCAUCUGGGACCUAUACCACAUAGCAAUGCCAGAUCCUUAACCCAUUGGGCAAGGCCAGGGAUCGAACCUGCAACCUCAUUGUUCCUAGUCGGAUUCGUUUCCACUGCGCCAUGACAAGAACUCCUCUUCAUGCCUUUUAAAAGUAGAUCAAUGUUAUAAAAAAGCUUGAAACAAUUUACUAAAAUAUUUUAGAUAGUCUUCAGUUUUAAGUUGCUCCUGUUACCCUUCUUCUUUAUCCUAGAUAAUUAAAAGUAUUCUAUCAAUUGAGCUGAUUGCAUUUUCCAUCUCAUUUAUUUUUUUUCCUCAGAGGCUUAAUUUCUUUAUAAUCUUGAAACUGUUCAUAUUCUAUAAUUUCCAUGUUUCAGGUCACUGCUGUGGCAUGGGUUCUCUAGCUAUUUUUGAGAAAUCUAUACGCAGACUAAUCUUUGUUUUUCUUCUAGACUCUAUUAAUAAAGAUUAUGAAGAGGCUUGCACAGUAGCAUGAUCAUUCGAGAUUUCAUUACGGUCAUUAAUGGUUUUUGAAUGUCAGGUUUUUUUUUUUUGUCAUACAAUCAUUGAUAAUUGGGGUUUUUAGCUAUUUUAUAUUGAGAAUAGAAGUCUUUCAAAACAUUGUCACCUUUGAAUCUAAUUAAUUGCAGAGUGAUAUGACCAUUGUUAAUGGAUGAGUCUUUUUUUAGUUUAGUUUAAAACCUAGACCUUUUUUUGCUUCCCCAAAUAAUUGUACUUAUGGUCAGAUGCAUAGUUAGAAUAAAAAUUGCAUCAAUUAUGAAGAAAAAUAUAAAUGUCAUUUUAUUUGCCAUCUAUAUUAAUAAUACCAUGGAAGAGUCAGAUGAGGAAAAAGGCCUAUUUUCAUGGCAUGGACCAAGUUUUAUGUAGCUGAUACUCAGUCAUUCUCUUUGGGAUUGGUGUGCAUUCAAAUUCAAAUCUCACGGCCAAUGCUAAGCACAGUGAGGUCAAACCAAGAAGCUCUGAUGCCAAGUUAUCUUAGUGAGAACCAGAAGUACCUCUUUCCAUCCAGGUUUUCUUUGGGGAAACAAUACUUAACUGAAAUGAUAAGAUGAUGUGAACUUGGAUCCUUCUAAGGGUCAAAUAGGAAUCAGUUAAAUAUAUAUGCUUAUGCGGUCUGUUAAUAUGGGUUAAGCACUUUGUGUUAUAUUCUCCUUAAGGUAGAGGAAACAGACACAUCAAGAGACAAUUAUUAAUACCAUGUAGUAAAUGUCAUGAUGAUAUUGCAGAAUCAGGUCCAGCUGCUUGCAGCUCAGAAAUCAAUACAUUAGGGAGACAACUGUUGGUAAAAGGAAAGUUGCUGUUGAACAGAAUGCCAGCAAUCUGGGGAGAUGGUAGACUCAGUGUCCCCCCCCAAAGCCAUCUCCAAAGAUUCUGCUUGGCCAGGAAACUUUUUAAAGGGAAAAGAGAGAAGUUCUCUGGUGGCCUGGUGGUUAAAGAUCCAUCACAACUGUGUUUAAGGUCACUGCUCUGGCAUGGGUUCUAUCUCUGGCCCUGGAUUCUGCAUGCUGUGGGCAUGCCAAAAAUAAAUAACUAAGGGGAAAAGAGAAGUAAUCUCAGUUAAUCAUUGCGAUGGGGUCAGAGUUGUCACCAUCCCCCACUGUGUGCAAGCUUGUCGACUUCUUGUGAUUUUUUCUUUAGAUGCUAUCUCGUUCAUAUGGUUUGUUUGUAAGACUCCUGAAGGGAAACUAGGGAAGAGAUUUGGUCAUCUGUUAAUUACUUAUUCUUCAUUUCUGUUUAUUUGAUUUAUGGAAAGAACCAACAAGUUAGGCAAAGUACACUGUGAUGAAAAGAUCUGAAAGCUGUGCGAGGCAUGGAGAUGAGUGGAGCAUGGGGUACCUGGUUUAAGGUUAGUACAAGACAAAGGGGCCUCCUGCAGAGAGCAUGUGUCAGCUAAAAGCUGCUAACAAUGGAGGUGUUGGUUUAGCAUGAUAGGACAGCACAAAACAAGCACAUGAAUCUGCAUAGAAAAAAACCAAGCAAUGCUUCUUAGAGAAGUCUGAUAGGUCUUCAAUGUUGGAUAGAAAUGAGCCAGAUGCAAAGUUAAAAGAAGUCAGAGGGAACUUGCCAGCAAGAAAUGGAGGCUAAAGUAACAGAGAAAUAAUAAGAAUACCACCAUUUAUUGAAUUGGGCACUAUUUUAAGUGAUGCUUUAAAUCAUUUAAUGUUCCCAACAAACAUAUGAGGCAGCUGUUACUUUUCUAAUCCUAUAUGUGAGGAAACUAUGACAAUGAAUGUUUAAGUAAAUUUCCUAAUGCCACAUAGGAAGAUGACAGAGCUGAGAUUAAGACUUCAUACC